UAUUUUCUAUUCAUUAUGAAG
Molecule: non-coding RNA, 21 nt
Filed under: Caenorhabditis elegans
Lineage: Eukaryota; Metazoa; Nematoda; Chromadorea; Rhabditida; Rhabditidae
Source: RNAcentral